This 166-nucleotide microRNA precursor is filed under the name Brachypodium distachyon (stiff brome). RNAcentral's name for it is "miR5164 stem-loop (bdi-MIR5164)". The stretch from base 28 to 165 matches the Rfam family "MIR1120/MIR1122 microRNA precursor family". The record is from miRBase by way of RNAcentral. Lineage: Eukaryota; Viridiplantae; Streptophyta; Magnoliopsida; Poales; Poaceae.
GUAUUAAAAACUAUGCUCUUGGGAUAACUAGUACUCCCUCCGUCCCAUAGUUAGUAUCGCAACUUUGUCUAGAUACGCAUGUACCUACACACUAAAAAGCGUCUGGAUACAUGCGUAUCUAGACAAAAUUGUGACACUUAAUAUGGGACGGGGAGGGAGUAACAAA